UGAAGGAAUCCCAUUUCAUGGAAUGAGAGGCCAAUCUUUAAUUGCUUUCCAGGGAAUUUCUGAUGAUCUCAGGUGAGCGCAGAAAACAGCCUGACUAAUGGAAACAUGGUCUCAAGAGAUCCUUCAGGAUCAUACUUAAUCCUGGUUUGGACUGUGGACAUAGCAUCGCCUGCAGCAGAUGUUUGCUCCUGGCAUGGCUGCAAACUGCAUGAGCUCCAUCACCGACAAUCCAGUUCUCGGGAUGCAUCGCCAGCAGCUUGGACACGGAGAAGCUGUGACACAAACUCAGCAGGACAGUGGAGUGUAUUCUGCUGCUCGGAUAUUAUGGAACAGACCGGUCAACCUCGUCUGGAGAGGCACUCGAUAGGAAAAUCAGCUCUAUGA
This is a long non-coding RNA of Gasterosteus aculeatus (three-spined stickleback), 384 nucleotides long. NCBI's taxonomy places the organism in Eukaryota, Metazoa, Chordata, Actinopteri, Perciformes, Gasterosteidae. The record is from Ensembl.